UACGUAGGCAGCAAGCGUUGUUCGGAAUUACUGGGCGUAAAGAGUGUGUAGGCGGUGUUCUAAGUCUGUUGUGAAAUCUCCCGGCUUAACUGGGAGGGUGCGGCGGAAACUGGAAUGCUAGAGGAUGGGAGAGGUAAGCGGAAUUCCUGGUGUAGCGGUGAAAUGCGUAGAUAUCAGGAAGAACACCCGUGGCGAAGGCGGCUCUCUGGGACGUGACUGACGCUGAGGCGCGAAAGCUAGGGGAGCAAACAGG
This 253-nucleotide ribosomal RNA is filed under the name uncultured bacterium. RNAcentral's name for it is "partial 16S ribosomal RNA". It matches the Rfam family "Bacterial small subunit ribosomal RNA", at positions 524 to 776 of the family's 1533-position model. The record is from RNAcentral.